Molecule: ribosomal RNA, 253 nt
Filed under: uncultured bacterium
Lineage: Bacteria
Description: partial 16S ribosomal RNA
Rfam family: Bacterial small subunit ribosomal RNA
Source: RNAcentral
UACGGAGGGUGCAAGCGUUGCUCGGAAUCACUGGGCGUAAAGGGUGCGUAGGCGGGUCUUUAAGUCAGGGGUGAAAUCCUGGAGCUCAACUCCAGAACUGCCUUUGAUACUGAGGAUCUUGAGUUCGGGAGAGGUGAGUGGAACUGCGAGUGUAGAGGUGAAAUUCGUAGAUAUUCGCAAGAACACCAGUGGCGAAGGCGGCUCACUGGCCCGAUACUGACGCUGAGGCACGAAAGCGUGGGGAGCAAACAGG